GCUCGGUGAGGGGGAGCAGGCCCCAGGCUCUGGGCCAGGCCACGUGGUCCUUCCUGAGCAGAGGGCUGGGAGCAAGCAGUGAGGGAGGACUCUUGUCCCACUAAGGGACCCAAUUUAGGAGGGCGCCAGGUGGUCUUGGAGGAGGCCUCUUCCAGAAGAUGGCCCUCUACAAUGGGAACACGACGGUCUAUCUGUUUAUUCCAUCUUCCUUCUAGGUAACAAUCGCAAAUUUAAAAAUGACAGAAAUGGCUCCAGUGAAGGAUUCUGUCACUAGUAAAGAGAAGAUUUAAAAACAGCCCUGAGGUCACAGCAACUUCGAGUUCCCAAGCCUUGCUCUGUCCAUUUACCCGGCACUAUGGUUUGAAAAUCCAGCUGGGCUGCUUUGUGAACACUGACUUGCUUUCACUGCCGUCUGGUGCUCCAUGGGACACAGCCAGCGCCACCCCUGCCUUUGGCCCCUCCACUCUUCCGGGAAGAGACGCGCCACUGUACCCUACGCCCCUCCCACAGCCCCUGCGGCCCGUGGGGGGCUCUUACCGUGCUGCAGAGCCAGGCUGACCUUUCCCCCCAGCUCCACCGCAGACGCACGGCGGCCGGGCUCUUUCCUCAGCCCCUCCUGGAUGGCCUGGGCGAAACUGCUCAGAGGCCCGGGAGGGCUGAGGCCACAGGCUGGGAGCACAGCUAUCCAGAAAAGGCCGCACAAGAGGGUUGGAGCCGUGGGAGCUCCGCGGCAGAAGACCUGGGACAAGGCAGCCAGCCUUUCUGUUCCCUCUUCUGUGUAGCAGGAAUCUCAGAAACGUGAGCAUCCGAUCCUUGCUCCUAUGUUUAAGCAUAAGAGAAGCUUUCUAGAGUCGUUGAGGGGCUGAAAUAUAAUGGUGGACAAAAAGUGCUCACGUCUCGGACUGCUGUUAUGGAAAGCCCGGGAGAAGACAUGGGGCUAAUGCUGAGUCAAGGCUGGGGAUGAUCAUUCUGGGGAGGGCGG
Molecule: long non-coding RNA, 982 nt
Organism: Zalophus californianus (California sea lion)
Lineage: Eukaryota; Metazoa; Chordata; Mammalia; Carnivora; Otariidae
Exons: 4
Source: RefSeq, a predicted model, not a curated record